Long non-coding RNA from Anopheles stephensi (Asian malaria mosquito), 922 nucleotides. RefSeq lists it as uncharacterized. The transcript is spliced from 2 exons. Lineage: Eukaryota; Metazoa; Arthropoda; Insecta; Diptera; Culicidae. The record is from RefSeq and is a predicted model, not a curated record.
UCGACCAUUCGAUAUCUUCUUGUCAAUGCGAGAAAAACACCCACGGAGUGGUCAAAUGUCACGUGCCUACACAAUCCUAAAACGAACUGUGUCAUGUUUAAGAAUGAACAAAUCUUUUCUGCGUACCUGUGUGUUUAUAUUAGUUAUCAGUUUACAACGAAAUCUCAGUUUUGUUGAGUAUAAGUAGCAUUCUGAAGUGUGCUGCAUUCAGUUCUGCUUUUUGCUGUGAUCGAAAUGGACAGCCACCAAUUCGAAGGAAUACACGUUUUGGAAGUGGGUCAGCAUUGAGCAGGCACAAUACGCUCAAAAUCGAUUUUUUAAUCCGUUCGACAUUAACAUCAACCCAACGGACGCACAGCUCUUUCGCUUAUCAAAGUCUCGCAUGCCGCUGAUCCUCCACACCAUGAUGGACCAGUUAGUAUGGACGCUCGCCUUUAGGCUCCUGCAUGAUAGACUUGUUAACGUUAACGGCUAACAUAUUACAGUGCCACGUGCUCAAUCGACCGAUAACGAGCGUACACAAAUUAUGUUGUUUCCAUCCGCACCUGACAUCCACCGACCGUAUUGUUUUCGUAUUUCAUCAAAAGUGAGUUCCUUCCGAACUUCCCAAACAGCACCAAUUCGUCGUCUAUCAAUGGAUGUCACAGAACCGCGUGCAAAAUGAGGAUAUAAUCAAAAUUUAUUGCCAAGCUCAUAAAUUGCCACCCAUCGUCUAAACGGGGCGACCUCCGCCACGCCGGAAGACAGAGCCUAGGCAAAACAAAAUUCGGCAACUAGCUAAAUAUGAACCUCGCACGAAACGUGCGAGCCAAAGAAAUAUGAAUAAACAUAAAUCUCGGUCAAAUCAAUAGGAACGUGCCAGAAUAGUGCGCGGUGGCGCCUGAUGAAUUGAAAGGAGAGUAGAGAAGAGAAAGAAAAAAAA